GGGUUCGUAGCUCUAACUGGGAGAGCGCCUGUCUUGCACACAGGAGGCUGUGGGUUCAAAUCCCACCGGAUCCA
RNAcentral lists this transfer RNA (74 nucleotides) under Leptolyngbya sp. FACHB-16. It matches the Rfam family "tRNA". From Rfam's summary of the family: Transfer RNA (tRNA) molecules are approximately 80 nucleotides in length. Their secondary structure includes four short double-helical elements and three loops (D, anti-codon, and T loops). Lineage: Bacteria; Bacillati; Cyanobacteriota; Cyanophyceae; Leptolyngbyales; Leptolyngbyaceae. RNAcentral also lists the same sequence under 4 other names. The record is from Rfam by way of RNAcentral.